AGAGUUUGAUCCUGGCUCAGCCUUGGCUUCAAGGGGGAACGGAACGCUGGCGGCGCGCUUAACACAUGCAAGUUCGACGGGGUACCCAUGACGGCGGCUUCGGCCAACGGAUUGGAAUACCUAGUGGCGGACGGGUGCGUAACACGUGAGUAACCUGCCCUUAGGAGGGGGAUAACAUACCGAAAGGUAUGCUAAUACCGCAUAACAUAUUUUCUUCGCAUGGAGAGGAUAUCAAAGAUUUAUCGCCUAAGGAUGGACUCGCGGCCGAUUAGUUAGUUGGUGAGGUAACGGCUCACCAAGGCGACGAUCGGUAGCCGGACUGAGAGGUUGAUCGGCCACAUUGGGACUGAGACACGGCCCAGACUCCUACGGGAGGCAGCAGUGGGGAAUAUUGCGCAAUGGGGGAAACCCUGACGCAGCGACGCCGCGUGAAGGAAGAAGGUUUUCGGAUCGUAAACUUUUGUCUUUGGGGACGAGAACGGACGGUACCCCAGGAGGAAGCCACGGCUAACUACGUGCCAGCAGCCGCGGU
Molecule: ribosomal RNA, 532 nt
Filed under: uncultured bacterium
Lineage: Bacteria
Description: bacterial SSU rRNA
Rfam family: Bacterial small subunit ribosomal RNA
Source: RNAcentral